GAAACGAUUCAUACUGCAAGCCGCCUAAAUGCAGGGCUUUUGAUGAUAUUCCCCGCCAACAAGGGUGUUUUGAAGAGAGUGAAGGAAACAGACAGGACUUUGAAAGGAAAAACAGACAUCUAAUUGGCUGUCUCUUGCCGACCCUCCAGUGACCCUGCACUGAAUACCUCUAAUGGACGUGUGUGAUCUUGGAGCCUCUACCGCAAUAAACGAGUUUUAGACUUUCAA
RNAcentral lists this long non-coding RNA (228 nucleotides) under Homo sapiens (human). RNAcentral describes it as "uncharacterized LOC105370997, transcript variant 4 (LOC105370997)". Lineage: Eukaryota; Metazoa; Chordata; Mammalia; Primates; Hominidae. The record is from RNAcentral.